GAGGGUAUAGCUCAGUGGCAGAGUGCAUGCUUAGCAUGCAUGAGGUCCUGGGUCUGGUCUCCAGUACCUUUA
RNAcentral lists this transfer RNA (72 nucleotides) under Camelus bactrianus (Bactrian camel). It matches the Rfam family "tRNA". Rfam says of the family: Transfer RNA (tRNA) molecules are approximately 80 nucleotides in length. Their secondary structure includes four short double-helical elements and three loops (D, anti-codon, and T loops). RNAcentral also lists the same sequence under 2 other names. Lineage: Eukaryota; Metazoa; Chordata; Mammalia; Artiodactyla; Camelidae. The record is from Rfam by way of RNAcentral.